Molecule: ribosomal RNA, 616 nt
Filed under: uncultured Legionella sp.
Lineage: Bacteria; Pseudomonadati; Pseudomonadota; Gammaproteobacteria; Legionellales; Legionellaceae
Description: bacterial SSU rRNA
Rfam family: Bacterial small subunit ribosomal RNA
Source: RNAcentral
UAGCUAGUUGGUAGGGUAAAGGCCUACCAAGGCGACGAUCGGUAGCUGGUCUGAGAGGAUGACCAGCCACACUGGAACUGAGACACGGUCCAGACUCCUACGGGAGGCAGCAGUGGGGAAUAUUGGACAAUGGGGGCAACCCUGAUCCAGCAAUGCCGCGUGUGUGAAGAAGGCCUGAGGGUUGUAAAGCACUUUCAGUGGGGAGGAGGAUUGACAGGUUAAGAGCUAGUUAAUUGGACGUUACCCACAGAAGAAGCACCGGCUAACUCCGUGCCAGCAGCCGCGGUAAUACGGAGGGUGCGAGCGUUAAUCGGAAUUAUUGGGCGUAAAGGGUGCGUAGGUGGUUGAAUAAGUUAUCUGUGAAAUCCCCGGGCUUAACCUGGGCAGGUCAGAUAAGACUGUUUGACUCGAGUAUGGGAGAGGGUAGUGGAAUUUCCGGUGUAGCGGUGAAAUGCGUAGAGAUCGGAAGGAACACCAGUGGCGAAGGCGGCUACCUGGCCGGAUACUGACACUGAAGCACGAAAGCGUGGGGAGCAAACAGGAUUAGAUACCCUGGUAGUCCACGCUGUAAACGAUGUCAACUAGUUGUUGGUGAUAUGAAUACCAUUAGUGACAC